RNAcentral lists this transfer RNA (67 nucleotides) under Pterotermes occidentis. RNAcentral's name for it is "tRNA-Arg". The record is from RNAcentral. Lineage: Eukaryota; Metazoa; Arthropoda; Insecta; Blattodea; Kalotermitidae.
AAACAAGAAGCGAUUAAUCGCAAUCAGUUUCGACCUGAUUCGCAGGUAGAAACACUACCCUUGCUUA